Long non-coding RNA from Oryzias melastigma (Indian medaka), 938 nucleotides. RefSeq lists it as uncharacterized. The transcript has 3 exons. The record is from RefSeq and is a predicted model, not a curated record. NCBI's taxonomy places the organism in Eukaryota, Metazoa, Chordata, Actinopteri, Beloniformes, Adrianichthyidae.
CUAAAGGAUGGAGGCGUGUUUUCUCCAUUAGUUCUGUCAGGUGGAUUAUUAUUACUAAUCCUCAUAAGGUCUCCAUUUUCUCCUGUUACAGUAUCGUGAACAUUUCCUGUUUCUGGAGAAAUUCAGGGGUUCUUCUUUUCCGAGGUUGUAGGUGCUCUAAAUGAUGAACUGCUUCCUUCAUUUUCUGCUCACCAGACCAUCAUCUGGUUAAUUAGCACUAAUUGAUGACGUCUGCCCACAUGAAUAACUAUCAGUGUUUAUGGGCUUUGAGACGUGGGAAGACUAAACCAAAUCCUAGAUUUGAAAAAAAAGCAAAAAUUAGGGAAAGAAAAAUGUCCCUCUUCCUUCAUGAUUCAUGCUGGAGUCUGUGCAGCCACAACAGGAGGUGCAGACGACCCGGGGAGCGAUCGGGCUCAGUGUACCAACGUGAUGCAACAGAUACUCACAUCUGUCACACAGAAGUGCAGACACAGGGCCCCGCCGGAGACAGGCGGGGACUCUGGUCCACCCGUCAAAGACUCUUCCACAGCUCACCCACAGAGAUGGAUAUGGGAGGAUCUGACAUCUUUCCAUCUGCUGGAGGAUGGAUGAGUUUCACCCGUUUGCACUUGACCUCAUUAACUCUGCACACAGCAACGCAUUCCCAGCUGCAUCCGGACCGUUCCAUUCCUGCAAGAGUUUUAGAAUGGCUGCUGAGGUUUGUACAGAUUAAAGUUACAUGGAAACUUGUUUUGCCACCGAGUUUGUUCUGAAGAUUCAGUUUGAGUAGAACAACAUGUGGGUGUUAGCCUUAGGCCGGCAGUGACUUCAUGUUCCUGUGUAGCUUGCACAACAUUGUAAGAUAAUGCCGGCAAACCUCCAACAUGACCUCUUAUUAAAACCUUUACUUCGCUGAGCUCAUAAAUCUUUUUUUUUAUGCUGAUGGUUAUCUCAACAUG